RNAcentral lists this ribosomal RNA (253 nucleotides) under uncultured bacterium. Its description in RNAcentral is "partial 16S ribosomal RNA". It matches the Rfam family "Bacterial small subunit ribosomal RNA", at positions 524 to 776 of the family's 1533-position model. The record is from RNAcentral.
CACGGGGGGGGCAAGCGUUGUUCGGAAUUACUGGGCGUAAAGGGCUCGUAGGUGGCCAACUAAGUCAGACGUGAAAUCCCUCGGCUUAACCGGGGAACUGCGUCUGAUACUGGAUGGCUUGAGUUUGGGAGAGGGACGCGGAAUUCCUGGUGUAGCGGUGAAAUGCGCAGAUAUCAGGAAGAACACCUAUGGCGAAAGCAGCUCUCUGGGACGGUACUGACGCUGAGACGCGAAAGCGUGGGGAGCGAACAGG